AACUCCUGACCUCAGGUGAUCCACCUGCCUCGGCCUCCCAAAGUGCUGGGAUUACAGGCGUGAGCCACCAUGCUUAAUUUUGGGAAAGUUUCAUUUUUAGUCCCACAGUCAGAAAAGUAAGGAAAUGAGGAAGCUUUAAUUUGAAAACUCAUUUAAUACAAGAAGUCAAGAUAUUUUGUAAUAUCUGUCUUCUAAAAUCACUUUAAAAUUUUAUUUUUAACUCACAAGAUUUAUUUUUUGGGGCUGGGCGUAGUGGCUCACCUUGUAAUCCCAGCACUUUGGGAGGCCAAGGCAGGAGGCUCACCCGAGCCCAGGAGUUCAAGACCAGCUUGGGCAACACAGCAAGACCCCAUCUCUACAAAGAUUUUUAAAAUUAGCUGGGCAUGGUGGCACAUGCCUGUAGUCCCAGCUACUUGGGAGGCUGAGAUGAGAGGAUCCCUUGAGCCCCAGGAGUUCAAGGUGGCAGUGAGCUAUGAUCAUGCCAUCACACUCCAACCUCAGUGAUCCUGUCUCAAAAAAAAAAAAAUUUGGCUUCUACAUUUAGUAUCUCUAUAUUCAUUUUAAUUAUUUUCUCACAUAGCGUGACUUUCCUGCCUCUCUCCCUUCCGCCCCUGUCACCCCAGAAUCUCUCAGUGGUAGGAGAAAGAAGGGGAACAUUCCUCUUUGUUAUUUCACCCAUCUUUCCUUCUCAUGCACCCUACAGCCAAGGACUCUUGAGUCCAGGAAAUGAUAGCUGGAAAAUCUGAAAAAGUGAAGCCCUUGGCCCUCACUUGCAUCAAAGUUUUUCCAAUUCCUUGAACCUCACUGGAGUUGUGUGGAAAUAUUGAGUGCUAUCAGAAAGAGGGGAGGCCGGGCACGGUGGCUCACGCCUGUAAUCCCAGCAUUUUGGGAGGCCGAGGCAGGAGGAUCACCUGAGGUCGGGAGUUCGAGACCAGCCUGACCAAAAUGGAGAAACCCCGUCUCUACUAAAAAUACAAAAUUAGCCAGGUGUGGUGGCACCUGCCUGUAAUCCCAGCUACUCGGGAGGCUGAGGCAGGAGAAUCACUUGAACCCAGGAGGCAGAGAUUGCGAUGAGCCGAGAUCACACCAUUGCACUCCAGCUUGGGUGAAAGAGCGAGACUCCUCCAUCUCAAAAAAACAAAAACAAAACAAACAAAACAAACAAACAAAAACAGAAAAGAAAAAGCUAUCCUGACAUUUGCACACACAUCUCAUGUUGCAUCAAGACUCAGUGAUUGGCCGGGUGUGGUGGCUCACAUCUGUAAUCCCAGCAUUUUGGGAAGCCAAGGCGGAAGGAUUGCUUGAGCCUAGGAGUUCAAGACCAUCCUGGGCAACAGCAAGACCCUGUCUCUAUUUAAAAUAACUAUAAUAAUUUUUGUAAAGGCUCAGUUAUCUCAGAGGAGUCCCAAUUUUUAAAAAACCUGAAUGAGAAUGCUCCUGACUAACACCUGUGGGGAAGAUUCUUUCCACUAAAAGGAUUUACUUCUUUUCUCCAACUUACUCUGUGAGCUCCAAAAACACCCAUAAUUCCCCAUGUGCUGCAGUGUCUUCAGUCAUCACAGAGGAAAAAUCCUAUAGCCACUUCUCCCCAGCCACUGCAAAUGACAAACGCUGCAUGGGGACUUAACAGGAUAGUGUCUCUCUUCUUCACCCCUGGAAGUUGGGCGGGGAGGCCUCUGGCUACCCUCUGACAUCCCUCAGUUGCAAAAGUGGACCAUGGAGAGAAGGCAGAGCCCUGUGUGACAGGAGCAGAGGAUCUGGGGGAGGGAAGGGCCCAACACCCCAAGCCUGUGCCCUCUGACUCAAGAGAUGUGCUGAUGGACAUAAAUGGGGCCGGUAACAGGGAAGGCAAAUUAAGUUCAAAAAUAUAGACAGCUAUGACUGCACCACUGCACUCCAGCCCGGGCGACAAAGCACGACCCUGAGAAAAUUUUAUUCUCUAAAAAUAAAAUUUUAAAAUAAAUUUAUAGAUAUAUAUAUAUAAUAUAAAUAAAAAAUACAUAUAUAUAAAACUGUAAGGAAAGAGUAGGGCUUGCAGCAAGGCCUGGGGUCAGGGCUCAGUGCAUAGGCUCUAUUGCUGGUGAUGGGGUAGCUGGUUUGGGCCCAGCCCCUGGCUGGUAGGGGAGGCUGUUGGAAGAGAGCAAAGACCUCUUCCAGGCAGUGCUACAGAGGUCAGGAGGCAGAACUAACGGUGGGAUAUUCUGGGAAGCCAGGAGGGCUGGGGAUGAAGGUCUGACCAGGUGCUUACAAAGGGGCCCUGAAUCUCUGUGCUACCAACUUAAUUUCCUGAAAUGUCACUAAAGAACCAACAUUAUUGGCAGCCAGCCCAGCCCAUGUGACCCAAUGUUAUUUAAAAAGAAAAAGAAAAAUGUAGCAGAACCACUGUUACCUUUCUAGGAGUUACAGACAUCCAACUUCAAAAUGGAAAGACCCUCAUUGCUAUUGAGGGUGAGAUACCACGCAUGAAACCCACGUGGACUGCAACUCAAAGUGUGGUCCUUGGCCCCGCAACAUUUGUCAGAAAGGCAGAAUUCUCACAGGGCCAGGACUAGGGUGGCACAGGUGAGGCAUCCCGGGCACAGCAUUUAAGGAGGCCCUCACUGUCAGGGUCGUACAGGGCACCUCCUCGGCUCACCCUAAUCCCAGCUCUGAGGUCCACCCAGACCUUUCUGAGUCAGAGUCUGCCUUUUAACAAGACUCUCAGCGAUAUGUGUGCCCAGAGAAGUGUAAGAAGCUCUGGCCUUAGAGAUGUAGCAUUGAUUUGGCAGGGAGGAUACCAGACACCAGAGGAAUUGUCAAGAAAGAGUGUAGAUGCCAUAAAUUCUGCCAGCCAGUGUACUGAGUUAAUGGUGUCCCCCCACAUUCACAUCUGCAGAGAACCUGAGAAUGUGACCUUAUGUGAAAAUAGGGUCUUUGCAGAAGUAAUCAAGUAAAGAUGACGUCAUACUGGAUUAAGGUGAGUCCUAAAUUCAAUAUGACUGGUGUCCUUAAAAAAAGGAAAAGGUAGGCUGGGGGCAGUGGCUCAUGCCUGUAAUCCCAGCACUUUGGGAGGCUGAGGCAGGCAGAGCACCUGAGGUCAGGAGUUCGAGGCCAGGCUGACCAACAUGGUGAAACCCCAUCUCUACUAAAAGUACAAAACUUAGCCAGGCAUGGUGAUGGGCGCCUGUAAUCCCAGCUACUGGGAGGCUGAGGCAGGGGAAUCACUUGAACCUGGGAGGCAGAGGUUGCAGUGAGCCAAGACCGUGCCAUUGCACUCCAGCCUGGGCAACAAGAACAGAACUCUGUCUUAAACAAACAAACUAACAAAGGAAAAGAGCAGGAAAGGCCAUGUGAUGAUGGAGACAGAGACAGGGGUGAUGCAGGUGCAGGCCAAGGAGUCCCAAAGACAGCCAGCAAACACCAGCAGCCAGGAAGAGGCAAGGACGGAUUCCUCCCUGCGCCCUUCAGAGACAGCAUGGCCCUGCCGCCAUCUUGAUUUUGGACUUCUAGGCUCCAGAACUGUGGGAGAAUAAAUUUCUGUUUCAAGCCAUAAGGCUUAUGGUAAUUUUGUUACACCAGUUCUAGGAAAAUAAUGCAGCCAGAAUCUUCACAUCUUUAAAAAUGGGGAUGCUACCUUUCCACUCUAUCACUGGAAGAAAUGUAUGAGAGAAUGAUGCAAAAAUGCUUUUAAAACCAUAAUAUGCAAUACAAAUGUAAAGUAUUAUUUUUAACAAGAACAUAUUUUUAAUUAGAAAAAUAGUUUAUCCGCUUAUUUUCAAAUAAGUGUGAUGGUUUGUGUGACAGUUUGGAUCAUUGUUCAGCAAAUAUUUUCUCCCCUCUCCUCUCAUACCAUGGGUAGCAUAUACUACCUGCCCGCUUACUGUUGGGCUUGGCCGUUUGACUUCCUUUGGCCCAGAGGCUGCCACUGUGCUUUUGCAAUCCUUUUGCACUCCUGCCUCCACUGUGAGAACAGGAUUCCCCAGGUCAUCACCUGAGCCACUGAAUGGAAUCCAUGCAGCAGAUCUAAAUGGAGUCCACAGCCUGGAGCCAAGCUGAGCUAGAUCAGCUGACCCACAGACAAUUUGUGUGGGAACAAAUUCUUGUUAUUGUAAAACACUGAGUUCUGGAGCAGUGUGUUAAGCAGCAUCAUUGUGGAAUAGCUGACUAAUGCAGGAUGAGAUAUCCCCAAAAAGGAGAAUAAGAAAUCUAUCCCAUUCUAGCGGUAUCCUAAGACACAGCUGAUGGCAUUUCAGAGUGUGUCUUUCUCAUCUUUAUACCAUCCUGUCACCUGGUUUUUGUUUUUGUAUUUUAAUAAGCUAUCUAUUAAGCCAUUUGAAACUCAUGGAAAUUGGCCAGGCACAGUGGCUCACACCUGUAAUCCCAGCACUUUGGGAGGCCAAGGCAGGUGGAUCACCUGAGGUCAGGAGUUCAAGAUCAGCCUGACCAACAUGGAGAAACCCCAUCUCUACUAAAAAUACAAAAAUUAGCCAGGCGAGGUGGAGCGCGCCUGUAAUCCCAGCUACUCGGGAGGCUGAGACAGGAGAAUCACUUGAACCUGGGAGGCGGAGGUUGCAGUGAGCUGAGACCAUGCCAUUGUAGUCCUCCAUUGAUUACAGUCCAUCUCCACCACAAUCAGGUCAAGAUAUAUCCCCCACUCAGGUGUAAUAAUCUGGGACCUUUGUAUCAUGCAUGUGUUUUCUUCAGAGACUCCGGUGUCUCUCUGCCAACACAACCCCAUUAUUCUGGCCAUGCCAUCAGGUUAAAUAAUUUGCUGAAUUUCAGGGUAGGUUGACAGGUUGCCAUAGCAGUCAAAUAGGCCCCAGGAGCAACAGGGAUACCAAAAGGGUAAGUGGCUUUGCAAACCAAUGACAGAGCAAGUGAAAUCAGCUCCCACCUCUCCAAAAAGCAGUCUCAACAAUAAUAUAGCAAACAUUUACGUGGCUAAAAGAAUUAGAAAGCUCGUGUGUAUUAAGGGCUAUCACUUUUGUCUCCUAUGAGUUCUCUCAAUUCAUCCCCUAGGUGAGGAAGGUAUUAUCAGCCCAUUGUACGAAGUAGAAAACAUGCAGUGGUGCACCGUUAAAUGUUUACAACUCUGUGGACUGGGGAAACACUGAUUUGCCAAUUCCCAUGGUGUAAAGAUUCCCACCACAGCCAACAUGAUGUCAGUGAACACAGAGUUGGGAAGAAAUGCGAACAUCCGUCUUUCCAGUGGGGAUAAACCAGCUCCAGCACACAUCGGAACUGUGCACAGAGAGGUCAAGCGACUUGUCAAAGUCACUCAGCUAGUAUGUGGGAAGCAAGGAUUUGUAUGAAAAUCUUCUGACUUGAGCGUGCUCCUCAACACUACUCUUGAUUUCCCAUGAGAAUGGCAAGGCCUCCGGAGCCAAGGACCCUAGAUAGUCUUUACUCGUGACAAUGUCCUUGAGUUGAUUUUUCUCAGAACAUGUUUGAGUAAGACCUACAGAACUCCAUAGACACUUUUUUCUUCCAAUUACUUUACACUAGGUUUCAAAUGCCAAAAUAGUGAAAAUUUCUGCUAAAAAGUUCUCAGAUUCCCACUGUUGGUCCAAUGUAACGUUUGCGUGCAAAUCUGGGUGAGAGGUGGAGUUAAGAAGGGGAGGAAAGAGUUCUGCCUUUUUCCCAACAAAGACGACACCAAACCAGAGGACUUUCCACCCCUACGACUGGUUGGCCCAACUCUCACUAGUGUGUGGCAAUCGUUGGUGCCAAGUCCUACCAGAGAGAGGUGACUUUUCCUAAGGGACUGAGUUCUGUUUCUAGAGGCUGCAACAAAUGUCUUUACCCUGACCUUUUCCUCCUUUUAUAAGGUUCUUUUAAUCGGGUAGACAUCAGGAGAGCAAACAGGCAGCCAACACUUGGCAAGAACCUGCUGAAUCCAUUGCAUGUAACUCAAGCAAAGUUCACCCUUUUAAGAUAAGGGGCUGCACAUGUUACUGUGUGUUGGGGUAAGAAACAUACAUGGGCACAGUUGGUCAGAUAUGAGACCACAGGGAUUUGUGAGGCAUGCCCUUAGUAUUCAUGAUUAUGGUUUUUGUUUUGUUUUGUUUGAGAUGGGGUCUCAUUCUGUCACCCAGGCUGGAGUGCAGUAGUGCCAUCUCAGCUCACUGCAACCUCCACCUCCUACGCUCAAGCGGUCCUCCCACCUCAGCCUCCCAAGUGGCUGAGACCACAGGCACGCACCACCCACCUGGCUAAUUUUUUGUGUUUUUGGUAGAGACAGGGUUUCGCCAUGUUGCCCAGACUGGUCUUGAACUCCUGAGCUCAGGAGAUCCACUGGCCUCAGCCUCCCAAGGUGCUAGGGUUAUAGGCAUGAGCCACCACACCCGGCCAUUUAUAUAUGGCAUAAGCCACUAUGCCAUACCUAAAAUCAGCUGCCGCAGAACUAAAAUGAGCAGAUUGCAAUUGUGGCCAACACCAUUUUUUACCCAAAACCAUUUUCCCAUCUUCCUUGCUAACAGAACUUGAUUUGGGCUGAAUCAAUGUGUCCAAAUCAGUGAUAGAUCUACACUGGUCUAUGCCAAUUAUGACAAUCUUAUUCCCUAACUGAUCAGCUUCCUUUGUAGGUUGGCGGGGCCGGGGAGGGGCCAUGGGAUCCAAUUCUGACCAAUGAGGCCUAAGGGGAAGUAUGCUGUGGAGAUUUCUGGGAAAGUUUUUUUCUAUCCUAACAAAAGGGAAAGUCAGCUGGCUUCACCCUUCACCUUCCUAUUCUUCCUGCCUUGAAUGUGGAUGUGGCUUUUUGUUAUGUAAGAAAAAUAAAUGAAUGUAUUUAAGCCAUUGUUAGGUAGGGUUUCUGUAUCUCAUAGCUGAACGCAUUUCUAACUGAUAGUGGUGGGCAAUGAACAAGUGAAUUUUACAGUAAUGGAGCAGAGGGUCAAGUUGACCCUACAAUCUUUAGUUUGACUAAUUGAAUGACUGGAAACCCAAUUGGUAGAUAAACAUAAAGAGUGUCAGAAGGAGGAGAGGUCAGAGCACAUAGAUAAGUUUUAUUUGGGUGACUCUAAGACCUCAGUCUUGCCUGACAUAAUGGGAUUCUGUGACGCAUGUGUGUGGACCUUUGCAAUGGAGCUGCUCAGAACAUCCUUGGAACCCCCCUUUGGAAAUUCUCAGCAAAGCCUGAUUCACCUUCUCUGUAAUUUCCUCACUGUCGAUGAUUUUUCAGUACUUUCAUGGGGGGUUGAUUUUUGGAAAUAUCUGAGACUAAGUAAGGUGCAUUAUGAGAUUAGGAUAAAUAAAAUAUUUGGGUGAGUGAUUUAAUAAAUAAACAUAAUCCUGAUAAUUGUAGAGUGUGUGUGUGUGUGUGUGUGUGUGUGCGUGUAUCAGAAACUCCUCCUGAAAGCAAUUCCAGAACAUGAAUUACAAACAUGUUUUUAACACUGGAAGCAUCAUUUGCAAAAAGAUUUCACUUACUAAGUAAUUUUGCUGAAGACUCACUUUUGCCAAAUAAUCUUUUUUAUCUCUCUUAAAAGUUGGCAAUCCAAACAUUGUCUCAAGUAAAACAAGCAAGUAUUCUCCAUGUUCUCAAUACUCCUCCCUCAGAAAUGGUCUCAGAGUUCUCAUCUUGGGUCCUUUAUCAGAUUUACUUUAUGAAAUUGAAUAUAAUUUCUGCAGCAAUAAAAUGGAAAUAAUAGCAUUUGCCUCCCUCCUAAAGAAAUGUGGUGAACAAGAGUUGGUCAGCAACAUCUAGAAUCUGGAGUAUCUCUCAUGGGUUCCAUAAAUACUUGGCAUAAUUAAUAAUUGCUAGUAAAGAGAUUGUGUUAUUAAUAUAUUACUGAGGAUUAAUAAUCAUGUAUUAUAAUCUUUCCAGAAAUGACAAAAUGUCAUCACUAUUAAAAUCUGCUUCAAAAAAAUACCUAAUGUUCCAAUUCUCCGAGAUUACUGUCCUACCCUCUUUUCUUCUCAACCCUCCACAUCCGCCCCUCAGCUGUUGAGCUCACCUGCACAUUAUCGAGCAGCAUGAAGUUAUCAUAUGGGAACAGCCUCAUCUUUUCACUGUGCACCUGUCCUCGCCAUAUCUUAUUUCCUUCUGUUUCAGUGAGGAGUGCCUUCAGAGUAUUAUCCCCUUGUGGCCUCUGAAGGACUUUAUUCCUGCAGUUUCCUCUUCUCUCUUCUGCAUCAUUCACCUCUCCCCACUCCCCAGUGCCUUCUCAUCUAAUCUGUAAACAUGUUCUGUAUCUGUGGGGGGGUUUAAACAUGGCUGCAAAUUCCUUGACAGUCUUCCCAUCAAGAGGGAGGAUCUGGCAGGGCACGGUGGCUCAUGCCUGUAAAGCCAGCACUUUGGGAGGCCGAGGCGGGAGGAUCACUUGAGGUCAGGAGUUCGAGCCCAGCCUGGCCAACAUGGCAAAACCCUGUCUCUACUAAAAAUACAAAAAAUUAGCUGGGCAUGGUGGCGUGCACCUGUAAUCCCAGCUACGAGGGAGGCUUAGGUGGGAGAAUCGUUUGAACCCGGGAGGCUGAGGUUGCAGUGAGCCAAGAUUGCACCACUGCACUCCAGACUGGGUGACAGAGCAAGACUCUGUCAAAAAAAAAAAAAAAGGAGGUAUCUACGUCCCCACUAAUUAAAUCUGGGGCGGGGGGGUUGUGGCUAGAUUGACCAAUAGAGUACAGCAAAAGGGAUACUAUGUGACCUCCAUGCAUAGGUCAUGAAAGGCCAAGCAGCAUCUGUCCUGUGCUGGAGCACUCCCUCACAGAGCCCUGAGACCACUUUGCAAGAACUUCAAUUACCCUGAGGCCGCCAUGCUAGAGAAGUCACAUGUCUGCACUCCAGUCGAUAGUCCUGGUGGAGCCUAGCCUUCUAGUCAUCCCCAUCAAGGUGCCAGGCAUGUGAGUGAAGCCACCUUAAACCCUCAAACCAGCCCUUUCAACAGCUGACUACCAGCAGUGACCCCAGUCAAUGCUGCAAGGAGCAAAACAAUCAUCUAGGGGGGCGAUAACCAAAUUCCUAACCCACAAAAUAACGGAAUCAAAUACAGCAGGUCCUCAAAUCAUAUUGUUUUAUUCAAUAUCAUUUUCUUAUAAUGUGGAUGAGAAAAAAAAGUUGGUCUACUGUCUCUGUGAAGUUUGCAGGUUCUCCCCAUGUCUACGUGGGUUUUCUCCAGGCAUUCUGGUUUCCUUUCACGUCUCAAAGCUGUGUAUAUCAAGUUCAUUGGCGUGUCUGCAUGGUUCAAGUCUGAGUGAGUGUGUAUGCGUGUCUGAACGCACCCUGCAAUGGGAUGGCGUCCUGCCCAGGGCUGGUUCCAGCCUUGCACCCUGAGCUGCUAGGAUAGGCUCUGGCCACCUGCUACCCUGAACUGGAAUAAGCAGGUAAAUAAUGACCUUUUUAUUCAUCUUUCUUAAAUAUAAAAUAUAUGUAUAGCUCACAUUUAUUUUAUUUAUUUAUUUUGAGACGGAGUCUUGCCCUGUCACCCGGGCUGGAGUGCCGUGGCACGAUCUUGGCUCACUGCAACCUCCGCCUCCCAGGUUCAAGUGAUUCUCCUGCCUCAGCCUCCCAAGUAGCCAGGAUUACAGGCGCAUGCCACCACGCCCAGUCGUGUGAAGAUGGUUGCUCCGCCUUUGCCUUCCACCUUGAGUAAAAGCUCCCUGAGGCCUCCUCAGUCAUGCUUCCUGUACAGCCUGUGGAAUGAUGAGCCAACUAAACCUUUUUCUUUGUAAAUUACCCAGUCUCAGAAUGAGAGCUCCUUGAGAGGAGGGACUAUGCCUGCUCUGGCAUUGAGAACAGUAUCUAGCACAGAGCGGCAUUCAACGUGAUGAGUGAAUGAAUAAAUGAACCAAUGAAUGUGACACUGCAAUCAAGGCCUGUGUCAGUCCAAAUAAACAGGUUAUGCUGUGGUAACAAGCAACCGAAAACCACAAAGAUUUAUUUCUCAUACUAUCUAUGCAAUGUGAUCAGCCCUGGGGGAGCUCGGGUCUUCCUAGGGAUCCAGGAUGAUGGAGCAGCCACCAUCAAAUAGUGGCAACUGGCAUGCCAGUGAGGAAGACACAGCUCUGGAGGGCCUCAUACUAACAAUUGGAUGGCAUUGUCUGGAAGUGACACACAUCACCUCCUGUUGCAAAUCAUUGGCCAGAACAAAAUGUGGAAACAUGGCCCCACCCACCCACAAAGGGCCAGGCAGUACAAUCCUACCAGUAGCCAAAAGAGGCAAAACCUGAACUAUAUGGCCAAUAGCCCUGAUGACUACCACAGAGCCUUUCACAGAAUGACCCCAAAUAACCUUUCCAAUCUCUCCUCCCUACACUCCUCCUCCAUGGCCCCUACCAUCCUCCCACCCUCCCACCAUACUGAACUACCUAUUUGCUCAACACACCACACCUUGUCAAGCCUCCAUUUCUUUCACAUACUGGGCCCUCUGCCUGGGAUGCUCUUAAAAGAUAACCACUAUUCUGACCGUUGAUUCAGAACGGGAAUUCCCUCUGCCUGGGAUGCUGUUAAGAGGUAACCAUUAUUCUGACCAUUGAUUAGUUUUGCCUGUUCUUGAAUUUCAUAAAAAUAAACCCAUAUAGUAUGUACUCUUUUGUGUUUGGCUAAGAGAUUCAUCUGUGUUGUUAAGCAUGGCAUAGUUCAUUCUUUUUUGUGGCUGUAUAGUAACCCGUUGUAUGACUAUACCAUGAUUUACGUAUCAGUUUUUCUAUUGAUAGCCUUUUGGGUUGUUUCCAUUUUGGAGCAUUUAUAAAGUUGCUAUAAACAUUCUUUUGGUGGCUAUACACACUCAUUUCUCUUGAGUAUAAACCCAGGAGUGUAAUUUCUGAGUAAUAAGGUAGACAUAUGCCUAGCAUUCAUAGAUACUGCCAAGAAGUUUUCCAAAGUAGCUAUACCAUUUGACAUUCCCACCAGCAGCAUAUGAGUUCUAGCCAGGCACCAUUUAAGCCCAGGAGUUUGAGAUUAGCCUGGACAACAUAGUGAGACCCCCACCUCAAAAAAAGUUACAUUUGCUCCACAACCUUGGCAACAUUUGAUAUUGUCAAUCUUUUGAAUUUUGGCCAUUCUGGUGGGUGUACUAUAGUAUCUCAUUAUGGCUUAAAUUUGCAUUUCAGUGGUAAAUAAUGAUGUUGAGCAUAUGCUCUUAUACUUAUUGAACAGCAUGCAUUUUUUCAUUCAACAAAAUGUUACUGAACAUCCACAAUGCAGCUGCACGUUUCUAUAGCAAUGGGGAAUAAAUAACACUCGAGCUCCACAAGAUUCCAAAUCAUUGCUUUGUUUGUCAAGCACUUCUAUUUUUGAAAGAAUUUUCUUUAACAUAUUAGAAAUCUAAAUAAAUGCACAGACAAACCCUGACUGCUCUUCUGAAGAAAAUUCCAAAUAAGGAAAUGUAACUGAUCAGAAACAGGAGAAGGAGAGGGCACAGUCACACUCAUUCAUUCAGUAAAUCUGUCUCUCUCUCUCUCUCUUUUUUUUUUUUUUGUGAGACAGAGUUUUGCUCUUGUUAUCCAGCUGGAGCGCAACGGUGCAAUCUCAGCUCACUGCAACCUCCAUCUCCUGGGUUCAAGUGAUUCUCCUGCCUCAGCCUCCUGAGUAGAUGGGAUUACAGGCUGGGAACUGCUUGAGGGAAGGGUCCAAGCCUUGUUCAUCUCUGAGCCCCCGUGUUAUAUACUGAGCACCUGGGUCGUACACUACCAUGGUCUCAAGAUACAUGUGCUGAACUGCUAAGCCAAUUCAUUGACUUUACAGAUGAAAAAUAUGAGAUAGACAGAAGCUUAAGAACACAGACACUGUACCCAGAAAGAUGGUAGCGGUGUCGGACUGAGAAUCCAGCGUCUUGUGUCCCCGUUAAGGUCCUUUUCCUCUAGUAUGCUGCCUCUGGCUGUGGUAAAUUCCAGAAUAUAAUUUGUAAAUUUUCCUAUCCACUGUCCCAUCCCACUUCCUAAAGUCACAUGCAAAAUAAAUUGGCAGGUUAGAGUCUGAACUCACAUUUCUGUUUGAAUCUUUUCCACUAUGGAUUUUAAAAGGAUCUCAAAUGGUAUCUUCUAAAAUUCUAAGCAUUCUAUCAAUCCUCAUGCUGAAAUAUGACUUGGUGAGUGACACUUCAAAAAGAAAAUAAACAUGCGUCUCAACCCAUUACUACUUUAUUUCCUCCAGAUCAUUUCCUCACAGGCAGGGCAGCCACGUCAGUGAACCCACUCAG
Long non-coding RNA from Gorilla gorilla gorilla (western lowland gorilla), 12116 nucleotides. RefSeq lists it as uncharacterized. NCBI's taxonomy places the organism in Eukaryota, Metazoa, Chordata, Mammalia, Primates, Hominidae. The transcript is spliced from 4 exons. The record is from RefSeq and is a predicted model, not a curated record.